This 4964-nucleotide long non-coding RNA is filed under the name Salmo salar (Atlantic salmon). RNAcentral describes it as "lncRNA (ENSSSAG00000100074.1)". The record is from RNAcentral. Lineage: Eukaryota; Metazoa; Chordata; Actinopteri; Salmoniformes; Salmonidae.
GUUCAAGUUGGAUUUUAUCGACAGCAUCGAGUGGGAUUUGAAGCGCUGUAAGAGAGAAUCACGUUUUCGGGAACUUCUCCUUCCCUUUCUUGGAUACCCGGUGAAAGCAGCAUUGCCUCAGCCAUUGGUGGGGAUCCUGUCCCAGCUACAGCCAGGUGAUUGGGUGGUGGUCAAGGAUCUGAGGAGGUGGACUGGACCAUUCCAAGUAUUGCUGACCAAUCCAACCACUGUUUGUGUGUCUGAGAGGUCUACGUGGAUCCAUGCCAGCCACUGCCGGAAAGUGCCUCACGUUCCAGCUGAGGAUGUACCAAAGAUGAGCGACUGCCAGGUGCAGUCUAGAUGGCCAUGGGAGGACCAGGACCAGACUCUACGCAUCAUGUUUGUUGCUUUCGUGCUCAUCCUCCUCAUUACAGCUGGAGUAUGGAUGCAGGGAACAGGCAAACAACAGAGAGCAGAAAAGCUGAACUCAACCAACUUGACCAACUUGACCGCAGUCCCAUGGAGGACUUAAAUAACAGCCACUCUCGCCCCUCCUGGGGUGAAGCCCCCUCACAGGAAAUGCUCUUUCUGCACCAUCUCCAUGAUUGGGAGAACACUGGGGUUUUUCACCUGAAUCACACUGCUCUAGCUAUUAACCUGACAGACUGGUAUGUGUGUGGGCAUAUCCCCUUAGCUACCACAGUAGGGGUUCCAUUUAGGGGGGUAGAAGUACAUGAGCCAGUUUGGGUAUACUACUUGGCCUGGAACCACUAGUCAGGGGCUCCAAAACCUGCUCUGAGUAUAGGCAGGCUGAGUUCCCUAACAUACAUUUUACUGGCCCAUCCCCAUUGGUAUUCAGCAACUAUACAUGGAGUAGGAAGAAGGUAAACGGUAGUAACCUGUUGGGUACUUCCCCACCCUUUAUGAAGGUUGUGAAAGGAGGGCUAGCACGGAUGUGCCUGAAGAAGAAUGCAAUGGUUAGAUUAUUUGACGCAGGUAACUGCUCAUGUGCCUCAUUCUGCCUGCCUUCCUCGGAGGCCUCCGCUAACCUAGCAUAAUGUAAAUUUGGCAAUAUGUCUGGAUUAGUAAUGCUGGAUUGGAUGGAUGCCCCGAUGGGGUAUAGCUGGAUCUGUGGUCAUAAGAGCUGUCCUUGGUUGCCACGUGAUUGGCAUGGUUCUUGUUAUGUGGGUGUGCCAGUACCAGUGAUCACGUGUAUGACCGCACGUAAGGUAGGAGAUGUGUUAACGAUAUCCCAUCCGACAGGUAGACGGGGGAAGCGCUCACCUGAGAAAGUGGCAGUCUCACCUCUGGAUAUGUUUUUCAGGGGCCUCCUGCCCUUGUAUGGAACUGUUCCUAAUGCCCACGAAGUUAAUAAGUUGUUUCACUUGCUUAGUAAAUGGAUUGCUCUGAAAAGAGAGGGGUGGGACCCUUUUGCAGCGCUGAAGAGUAUCUUUGUGGCAUGGGGAGCUACAGUGUUUCACUGGUUAAUCUAUGGGGAAGUUAUCUUACUGGUAGUCAUGGCAGCAGUAGUGUGUGUUAGGAAGAUCUGUGCGGAAGCAGUAGAUCUCACUCUUAACAUGGCACUGGUAAUGGGCAAUGUGGGUGCUAGAGUGGUGCCUAAUGCAACAGUGGAUGGUCAGUAUAUGAGUGACUUUCCUGAUCUUUUCCCCAUUUCUGACUAUCUGGAGGAUGAGGGAUUGCUACAGGCCAGUGCCCCUCCUCUGGAUGUUGAGUCUGGGGAACCAGUGCAGGUCAUGAUUCAUACUGCAUGCACAAAAUGCCCUAAGAAGGGUUUCUGUUAUUGGUGCAGGAAGGGAUGGAAAAAGGUGAUAAGCAUUUGCACCAUGCUGACCCCUUGAACUGAGCUAGAUGCCAGAGAGAUGACUGUCCUAUCUGUUGUGAUGAGGCCUGUGUUUAGACACUGGUUCUCCUGUAAGUUAGGGAGCUUUUAUUAUUUCUGUUCCUUAUUUCUGUAUUUUCCCCAACAAUGUAUUAUUCUGUAUGAUUAAACAUGUGCAAGUAUGUGUUGAGGAAUUAACCUGUUGGGGCUACAGGUUAGCAAUGAACCCCGAGUCGGGAUUGCUAACAAGGCUGGAAAUUCAAAACAUCAAAAAUCUAAUAAUUUCAAUUUCUCAAACAAUCAACUAUUUUACACAAUUUAAAAGAUAAACAUCUCCUUAAUCUAACCACAUUGUUCGAUUUUCAAAGAGGCUUUACGGCAAAAGCAUAAAGUUAGAUUAUGUUAGGACAGUACAUAGCCACAAAAGUACAAACAUCCAUUUUCAAUUCAAGGUCAGGCGUCACCAAAAGCAGAAACCAGCUAGAAUUAUGCACUAACCUUUGUCAAUCUCCAUCAGAUGACACUCCUAGGACAUUAUGUUAUACAAUACAUGCAUUUUUUGUUCCAUCAAGUUCAUAUUUAUAUCCAAAAACAGCAUUUUACAGUAGCGUGAAAUUCAGAUUUUUUCUUCUCUGAAAUGCUUCCGGUGAACAUAACAAAAUUACUAUUCGAAAACAUUGGUAAAUUAUAAUAUUGUCAUUCAAAGAAUAAUAUAUUAUCAUCUCGUAAUUGCUACCGAAUGGCCAGAUCUCAAAAUAACUUUACUGGGAAAUCACAUUUUGCAAUAAACGGGGUGCUAUGCUAAGAACAAUAAGCUAUGCUAUACAGUUAGCAUCAUCUAAUAUCGAUAAUAACAUUGUAAAUAUCCCCUUACCUUUGAUUAUCUCCAUCAGAAGGCACUGCCAGGAAUCCCAGGUCCGGAACAAAUUUGUUUUUUUUUGACAAAGUUCAUAAUUUAUGUCCAAAUAACACCAAGUAGUUAGGUUCAUUAUGCUCCCACAAAACGUGGUGGGGGGGGGGGGUGUAAAAUCACGCCGAAAAGCUAAAAAAAAACUUGUAAAUAAUCUAUUUACGUUCGUUCAAACAUGUCAAAAGUUGUUUAGCAUUAAUCUUUUGGUCCAUUUUUAACGUUAAACAUCAGUAAUAUUUUCACACAACCUAUCCUAUGUCUAGAUAAACAAUGAUGACAAACUCACGCUUCUCAGAUUUAUGCGCAGGCGCAAAAAAAUGAAGUGAUGACAUGUCAACUUCUUUGCAUUCUAAUUUGCUCUCUGUUUAUCAUAGACGCUUCAAACAACUUUAUAAAGAUCGUUGACAUCUAGUGGAAGCCGUAGGUGUUGCGAAAUGAAUCCUUUCUCACUAUGGUAUCUAUAAAACAAUGACACUAAAUAGUACAGUCACAAAAUUCACAUUUUUUAAAAUCUAUUUUUCACAGGUUUUUGCCUGCAAUAUGAGUUUUGUUAUACUUACAGACACCAUUCAAACUGUUUUAGAAAAUUCAGAGUGUUUUCUAUCCGAAUGUGUUAAUAAUAUGCAUAUCCUAGCUUCUGAGUUGGUGUAGGAGGCAGUUAAAAAUGGGCACAUAUUUUUUUCAAAAUUUCUCAAUACUGCCCCCGAGCCCCAACAGGUUUUAAGGUCGUAAACUCAGUUUCCCAACGGAGGAAGCUUACAUGGAAAUAAGACACACGACAUUUUGAUUCUGGUUUUGAUUUUCUAUUUUUCUUAUUUUUAGUAAUUCAUAUACUCUGCAACAAAUGUUUGUAAGAUUUGCCAUGUUACUGUUCCUAUCUUUCCUGGAAUGAACGUAGUCCCUUUGUCAAGGUUGUGCACUACUGGUAUGAAGUCAGGUGCAGGAGAGCAGUGAGUUGUGAUCAGGCGCACUUUAUUUGUGUCACGUCCUGACCAGUAGAGGGAGUAUUUGUUAUUGUAGUUUGGUCAGGACGUGGCAGAGGGUAUUUGUUUUAUGUGGUUCGGGGGGUUAUGUGUAUGUAGAGGGGUGUUGUAUUUAUGUGUUCCGGGGUUUUGGUGUAUGUUCUGGGUUUUUGUGUUCUAGGUUUCUAGUUUGUAUAUUUCUUUGUGGUCUGUGUGGCUCUCGAUCAGGAACAGCUGUUCAUCGUUGUUCCUGAUUGGGAGUCAUAUUUAAAGUGCUUGUUUUCACCUGUUUAGUUGUGGGUAGUUGUAUUUUGCACUGCUGCGUAUAGCCUGUAAAACUGUCGUCUGUCGUUCUUUUUGUUUUCUUCGUGUUCACUAAUUAAAGAAAUAUAAUGAUGAACACGCAGCCCGCUGCGCCUUGGUCUCAUCACUACGACAGCCGUGACAAUUUGGCAGAAGCACAAAAGACAGAUGCAACUGCGUCCAAAAUCCUCCAGCCACAGGUAAAAGUAAAUAAGCGCGAAAACACUCACAAAUAUACAAAUGUAUGACAAAUACAUACAACGGGUCAAAAUACGAUACCCGGGGGAAAAACCAGUCUGGCACAUCACACUAAACACGUAACAAAACUAUUUCCCACAAAGACAUGGGGGGGACAGAGGAAUAAAUACAUGCAGUGUGAUUAGGGAAUGUAAACCAGGUGUGCAGGGAGCAAGACAAAACAAAUGGAACAAUGAUAAAUGGAGCGGCGAUGGCUAGAAAGCCGGUGACGUCGACCGCCGAACGCCGCCCGAACAAGGAGAGGAGCCGACUUCGGCGGAAGUCGUGACACCCCUAAGAGGGAAAUGUGGGAUAAAAAUUAGUAUUACUUUAAAUGAUAGGUAUGUACAAUCCUGUUACUCUGGUUGUGUAAGUUGCUGUUUUCACAUAACUCUGUACCUAAUCCACCAUGGCUGUGCACAUCUUGUGCUCUUACCUCCACCCUCUGUACUCUGAAACAGGUCUGUUUCAAACAGUCUCUCCUUAUCCUCUCCUCUAUUCUAGGAACAAACAGUUCUUAGUACUCACAUGAGAACACAGAGGACUCUGAAUAUUUGGUCACCUCAUCCAGUAGAUAUCUGUUGGUUCGACACAUUGAGACAGUUGUGGUGGAACCAGCCAUGACUAAGCAUUUACAGGUCUACUAUUUAAGACCUCUGUUUGUUUCUGUAUGUCAGAGCUCUCAACCCAACACUUAAGAGUGUGGGGUCGACCAGCCUCAUUAUUGCAGAGC